Long non-coding RNA from Chinchilla lanigera (long-tailed chinchilla), 385 nucleotides. RefSeq lists it as uncharacterized. The transcript has 4 exons. Lineage: Eukaryota; Metazoa; Chordata; Mammalia; Rodentia; Chinchillidae. The record is from RefSeq and is a predicted model, not a curated record.
CAGAGUGUGAGCUGAAUAAAGAACUAGAAGCGCACACAUACUGAGGGGCGGGAAGGAAUUCUUUCUUCUACCCAUUGAUGACUGCUUCUUGACCUUUUGGCUAAGAUCAAGUGUAGUAUCUGUUCUACCUAUUGACAUAUAAUCUCAUUCUUUUCUGGUACUGAGUUCCAAGUUUUCAGACCAUCUUAUAAAGUAAGACUUCUGCAAAGGCACACUGAUUUCUUGAAAAGAAGAGGGAAGAAGAGUGAAUGAUAAUCCCCUUUCCCAUCCAUCCACUCAAGAAUCGCUGCUCCAAUGCAAUUGUUAGGAAAUGACCAUCUAUGAGCCAGGAAAUGGGCCCUCACCAGACAUCUAAUCUACAAGGCCAUGAUCUUCAACUUCUCAG